RNAcentral lists this small nucleolar RNA (85 nucleotides) under Cladophialophora yegresii CBS 114405. Lineage: Eukaryota; Fungi; Ascomycota; Eurotiomycetes; Chaetothyriales; Herpotrichiellaceae. The record is from RNAcentral.
CAAUGAUGAACACUCUAGAUGACGAGUCUUAUUCAGCACGCUGAUGCAGACACAACUCAAAUUACCAUUCAUGCAUUUCCUGAGU